This 85-nucleotide transfer RNA is filed under the name Felis catus (domestic cat). It matches the Rfam family "tRNA". From Rfam's summary of the family: Transfer RNA (tRNA) molecules are approximately 80 nucleotides in length. Their secondary structure includes four short double-helical elements and three loops (D, anti-codon, and T loops). The record is from Rfam by way of RNAcentral. Lineage: Eukaryota; Metazoa; Chordata; Mammalia; Carnivora; Felidae.
GCCUGGGUGGCUUAGUCGAUUAAGCGCCCGACUUCGGCUCAGGUCAUGAUCUCACACAUCGUGGGUUCGAGUCCCGCAUCGGGUU